CAAAAGUAGCCAAUUAGACAAGGGGCUAAGGAACACCUCGCCCACAGUUUAGCAGCGUGUGCACCCAGGCUAUAAAGCUCAGAAACACAUCACUUCUACAGAGCUGCUUGCUAACUGCACAAGUCUGUGAGUACCCUGAACAAGCUAAUCAUCUCAGAAUGCAGUUUGCUGGGAAAGCGUUGGAGGAGCUUUUGGUCUUUGCAAAAAGUCAGGAAUGUCUGACUCUUGGAGUCUACGAUUCUGCAAAAGUCAUGAAUGUUGAUCCAGACUGUGUGGCGUUUUGUGUUCUGGCAACUGAUGAGGAGUAUAACGGUGACAUCGCCCUGCAGAUCCACUUCACCUUAAUCCAGGCGUUCUGCUUUGAUAACGGCAUCGACAUCGUGAGAGUGAAUGACACCCAGCGACUGGCUGAGAUUCUGAGCGACACCGAUGAGUCAGAAGAUGUGCACUGCAUUCUUGUCACGAAUCCAAGUGAAGAUACUCUGGACGACCCUGCUCUGGAAAAGCUGAGCUUGUUUUGUGAGGAGUGUCGCAGCUUCAAUGAAUGGGUCCCUGCUAUCACACUCCCUGAGCGUUGAACUGAGACACGUCAACUCCUGUUGGGGAUGCGUAACCUUCGUUUAAUUAUCAUCAUGGAAUACAUGGGUUACCCAUCAAAUUCCUGAAAUGUGUUGAUUAUCCUGUUGAGGAAUCAGAUGCGGAAUCGGGAAGUGGCUGGAACAGACGUGCUGAAGAGCCUUGCGAGGUAGAUGGACGUUUCAUACCAAGGUGCCCCCACUUUCCAGAUGGAGUGGGGGCUGGUAUACCAUGGAAAAGAGUGGAGUUUUAUUGAGUUCGGGAUCAGUGUGGAGAUUUCAGAGGGAUACAGAAAAUCUAUUAGAAAAGACUUACGCUUACGUUUUAAGAAAGCAAACAGAUUACAAUAUGGUUAUGAAGCAGAUGGCCUGAUGUAACAUUACUGUAUACAAAACUUUCAAAGUAAAACAAACGUUUACAGAGUGUUGCUAUGUACUGUAAUGGAAUGAGUUUGAUGUUGAAUUACUGUGAAACAAAAUAAAUCUUUUAAAAUGA
Molecule: RNA transcript, 1071 nt
Organism: Polyodon spathula (Mississippi paddlefish)
Lineage: Eukaryota; Metazoa; Chordata; Actinopteri; Acipenseriformes; Polyodontidae
Gene name: growth arrest and DNA damage-inducible protein GADD45 gamma-like
Exons: 4
Source: RefSeq, a predicted model, not a curated record